Molecule: long non-coding RNA, 407 nt
Organism: Tinamus guttatus (white-throated tinamou)
Lineage: Eukaryota; Metazoa; Chordata; Aves; Tinamiformes; Tinamidae
Source: RefSeq, a predicted model, not a curated record
CUCUCUCCUCCCUCCUCUGCUCGCCUCGCGCUCGCUCUCUCUCUCCGCCGGCCUCAUCGGAGAGAGUUGCAGUUCCCUCUGGGCCUGUGUGGACUAGGAGCACAAGCCGGCGCCUGACUGGCAGGAGAGGAAAGCGGAGACUCCUUCAGGUUUCCAAAGAGGUCCGAGUGGACUGCAUUAGGAAAACCUAAGGAGUCUUACACUUUUAAUCCUCCAGUCAUUGGCUGUGCAGUGAGGACACAGUGCUGAGGUGGUGGGAAUAAAAGGUGACUGCUUUCCUGGCCCUUUACAGUCUAGUUAAGCAUUUGACUGACAGAAUGUUGGCACCAGCCCUGGAAAUGCUACUCAGCCUCAACUCCAAAUCUCUGUCCUGAGACACAACAACAGGAUGUGCCUUGGAGAAGAGU